RNAcentral lists this ribosomal RNA (751 nucleotides) under uncultured Bacilli bacterium. Its description in RNAcentral is "bacterial SSU rRNA". It matches the Rfam family "Bacterial small subunit ribosomal RNA", at positions 28 to 735 of the family's 1533-position model. Lineage: Bacteria; Bacillati; Bacillota; Bacilli. The record is from RNAcentral.
GAUGAACGCCGGCGGUGUGCCUAAUACAUGCAAGUCGAACGCGUUGGCCCAACUGAUUGGACGUGCUUGCACGGACUUGACGUUGGUUUACCAGCGAGUGGCGGACGGGUGAGUAACACGUAGGUAACCUGCCCCAAAGCGGGGGAUAACAUUUGGAAACAGAUGCUAAUACCGCAUAACAAUUUGAAUCGCAUGAUCCAAAUUUAAAAGAUGGUUUCGGCUAUCACUUUGGGAUGGACCUGCGGCGCAUUAGCUUGUUGGUAGGGUAACGGCCUACCAAGGCUGUGAUGCGUAGCCGAGUUGAGAGACUGAUCGGCCACAAUGGAACUGAGACACGGUCCAUACUCCUACGGGAGGCAGCAGUAGGGAAUCUUCCACAAUGGGCGCAAGCCUGAUGGAGCAACACCGCGUGAGUGAAGAAGGGUUUCGGCUCGUAAAGCUCUGUUGUUAGAGAAGAACGUGCGUGAGAGCAACUGUUCACGCAGUGACGGUAUCUAACCAGAAAGUCACGGCUAACUACGUGCCAGCAGCCGCGGUAAUACGUAGGUGGCAAGCGUUAUCCGGAUUUAUUGGGCGUAAAGCGAGCGCAGGCGGUUUGAUAAGUCUGAUGUGAAAGCCUUUGGCUUAACCAAAGAAGUGCAUCGGAAACUGUCAGACUUGAGUGUAGAAGAGGACAGUGGAACUCCAUGUGUAGCGGUGGAAUGCGUAGAUAUAUGGAAGAACACCAGUGGCGAAGGCGGCUGUCUGGUCU